AUCAACGGUAGAGAACGGGGG
Molecule: microRNA, 21 nt
Filed under: Raphanus sativus (radish)
Lineage: Eukaryota; Viridiplantae; Streptophyta; Magnoliopsida; Brassicales; Brassicaceae
Description: rsa-miRn22
Source: RNAcentral